Long non-coding RNA from Papaver somniferum (opium poppy), 544 nucleotides. RefSeq lists it as uncharacterized. The transcript has 2 exons. Lineage: Eukaryota; Viridiplantae; Streptophyta; Magnoliopsida; Ranunculales; Papaveraceae. The record is from RefSeq and is a predicted model, not a curated record.
AUAAGGAACACAACCUUGCCACCACUCAAAUCCCCGCUGAAAAACUCCAAAUACACUCACAAAACCACUGCAAUUCAUCACCAUAAGGUAAGAUUUCCACACAGAUUCCUUCAGUUCAGUUGAGCGAGCAAAAUCCUGCCUUUGUGCUUCCCGGCAUGUAUCUGGAUUUGAACCCGCGUAGAUAUAUAGACGACGAAUUUACACUCCAUCAUCAUUAACCACACUGCGAUAAAACUGACAGCGGUGGUCUCCAUUACUUGACUCUGCUAUGCAAUUUCAGGUGCAGUUAUAGGAGCUUACAAUCUAUUUUCAGUUUUAGUUUUUUAGUUUGUAUUGUUGAUUUGCUGUGUCGCAAUCACUCAAAGAAUUAUAGUAGACUUGGUAAAUUAUUGCUGAGUUUGUUGGUCGAGCUUGGAAAAAUUCCUGGUGGCAGCUGCAAGUUCUUGAAACUUAAACUUAGUGGCUGCAGUAUGCCUUCAGCAUCACUACUGGUACUGGGACAUAUAACAUCACCAAAUUUGUAAUGAAAUUUAUAUUUUGGUUA